RNAcentral lists this ribosomal RNA (349 nucleotides) under uncultured bacterium. RNAcentral describes it as "bacterial SSU rRNA". It matches the Rfam family "Bacterial small subunit ribosomal RNA", at positions 335 to 678 of the family's 1533-position model. The record is from RNAcentral.
ACUCCUACGGGAGGCAGCAGUGGGGAAUAUUGCACAAUGGGGGAAACCCUGAUGCAGCCAUGCCGCGUGUGUGAAGAAGGCCUUGGGUUGUAAAGCACUUUCAGUAGGGAGGAAGGUAGUGUAGUUAACACCUGCAUUAUUUGACGUUACCUACAGAAGAAGCACCGGCUAACUCCGUGCCAGCAGCCGCGGUAAUACGGAGGGUGCGAGCGUUAAUCGGAAUUACUGGGCGUAAAGCGCAUGCAGGCGGCCUGUUAAGUCAGAUGUGAAAGCCCGGGGCUUAACCUCGGAAUUGCAUUUGAAACUGGCAGGCUAGAGUCUUGUAGAGGGGUUAGAAUUUCAGGUGUAG